CCUACGGGCGGCAGCAGUGGGGAAUAUUGCACAAUGGGCGCAAGCCUGAUGCAGCCAUACCGCGUGUGUGAAGAAGGCCUUCGGGUUGUAAAGCACUUUCAGCGGGGAGGAAGGCGUUAAGGUUAAUAACCUUGGCGAUUGACGUUACCCGCAGAAGAAGCACCGGCUAACUCCGUGCCAGCAGCCGCGGUAAUACGGAGGGUGCAAGCGUUAAUCGGAAUUACUGGGCGUAAAGCGCACGCAGGCGGUCUGUCAAGUCGGAUGUGAAAUCCCCGGGCUCAACCUGGGAACUGUAUUCGAAACUGGCAGGCUAGAGGCUUGUAGAGGGGGGUAGAAUUCCAGGUGUAGCGGUGAAAUGCGUAGAGAUCUGGAGGAAUACCGGUGGCGAAGGCGGCCCCCUGGACAAAGACUGACGCUCAGGUGCGAAAGCGUGGGGAGCAAACAGGAUUAGAUACCCGAGUAGUC
Molecule: ribosomal RNA, 465 nt
Filed under: uncultured Klebsiella sp.
Lineage: Bacteria; Pseudomonadati; Pseudomonadota; Gammaproteobacteria; Enterobacterales; Enterobacteriaceae
Description: bacterial SSU rRNA
Rfam family: Bacterial small subunit ribosomal RNA
Source: RNAcentral